RNAcentral lists this ribosomal RNA (253 nucleotides) under uncultured bacterium. RNAcentral describes it as "partial 16S ribosomal RNA". It matches the Rfam family "Bacterial small subunit ribosomal RNA", at positions 524 to 776 of the family's 1533-position model. The record is from RNAcentral.
UACGUAGGGUGCAAGCGUUGUCCGGAAUUAUUGGGCGUAAAGAGCUCGUAGGCGGUUUGUCGCGUCUGCUGUGAAAACCCGGGGCUCAACCCCGGGCCUGCAGUCGAUACGGGCAGACUGGAGUCCGGCAGGGGAGACUGGAAUUCCCGGUGUAGCGGUGAAAUGCGUAGAGAUCGGGAGGAACACCAGUGGCGAAGGCGGUGGCCUGGACCGAUGCUGACGCUGAGGCGCGAAAGCGUGGGGAGCGAUCCGG